GACGAACGCUGGCGGCGUGCUUAACACAUGCAAGUCGAACGGAAAGGCCCUGCUUUUGUGGGGUGCUUGAGUGGCGAACGGGUGAGUAACACGUGAGUAACCUGCCCUUGACUUUGGGAUAACUUCAGGAAACUGGGGCUAAUACCGGAUAGGAGCUCCUGCUGCAUGGUGGGGGUUGGAAAGUUUCGGCGGUUGGGGAUGUACUCGCGGGUUAUCAGCUUGUUGGUGGGGUAGUGGCUUACCAAGGCUUUGACGGGUAGCCGGCCUGGGAGGGUGACCGGCCACAUUGGGACUGAGAUACGGCCCAGACUCCUACGGGAGGCAGCAGUGGGGAAUAUUGCACAAUGGGCGGAAGCCUGAUGCAGCAACGCCGCGUGCGGGAUGACGGCCUUCGGGUUGUAAACCGCUUUCGCCUGUGACGAAGCGUGAGUGACGGUAAUGGGUAAAGAAGCACCGGCUAACUACGUG
This 468-nucleotide ribosomal RNA is filed under the name uncultured bacterium. RNAcentral describes it as "partial 16S ribosomal RNA". It matches the Rfam family "Bacterial small subunit ribosomal RNA", at positions 28 to 507 of the family's 1533-position model. The record is from RNAcentral.